GGAAGUGUUAACAAGGCGGGAAUGGCUAACAAGUGGCAUGUUGUGUGUACUGUCAAGCUUUCAUUAUGCCAGGUUACCUGAACUUAUCUGCUUUCCCUGUGCCAGCAAUGUUUCUCUUGUAACUCAGGCAACUGGAGGAUUUUGAAGGUCUGGAAGGUCUGUGAAAUUCCCUGCAGCUCAACUCCCUCAUGAAAUUUUCCACUUCUUAUGUAACAAAAUUAAACCAGGAGGGAUAGCAGCUUGGAGAAGUGAGGGAAGAGAACUCUGAUCUGAGAGGCACAGGCUGCGGCCUUGAGUGCAGGACAGUUGUGAGGUAAAAAGUCAAGUUAAGCAGGGCUUUUCUUUUUCUUCCCUUUUUUUUUCUACUUCAAGGUACUUUCCCCGCUGGAGCGAAGAGGGAUUUUGGCAAGCAUUAAAGCUGUGCAAUUUUUAUCACAAAAAGGCAUUACAAACCACCCUCCCUAAAGAACUGCUCAACAAAAGAGGAAGAUACAGAAGCAAGGGAGCUGUUAGGUGCCUCAGUCUUCGCUAUAUUUCUGACAUACUGUACAUGUCAGUCAGCAGACAAUUAAGCAGAAUCAGAUGCAUGCCCAAUAGACAAUAAUGUAUUAAGUAAAUCUAGCCUUAGUUAUUUGCAGACUCAUGCUUUCCCUUCAAAGUAUUCAGCAUUUUGAACUAUUUGACUAAUCAACUUGUUGGGGCAAAAGUGGACUUCUCUCUGGGAGCAGGAACAAGUUGGAGGAUGCUACACACAUACAAACACAUACAAAGGAUUAACUAACAAAGAUAUUGGUUCUUAAUGUGUAAUGGUCUCUUAGCUAGCUAGUAUGGUUGACCUCUGAGGUCAACUCAAAUAUCCAGGCUGAGCUCGGGUUCAGGGCCCUUGCUUCCCUCCCUCCAACUCUCUGGUCUAUUGGACUAUCACCUUUUGUCCAUGUUCAUCGUUCUAAUUUGCUGUUUUAUAUGUAUUAUAUUUUGUACAUUGCCUCGAGACAUAAGUGGAAGGCGACUGAAAAACAAGAAUAAUUGGGGUGUUUCUUUCCGAUUGGCUCCCAAGAUUUUUAUCUUCCCCUCAGAAAUAACCUCUCAUUUAGUUUUCUGCCUUGCUGUUCCAAGAAAAUUUGGUCUCCAAACUGCAGUACAAAUGUAUCCCACUUGGCUCCUCCUUUUUAUCUUUAUCUUUACAAACAUCUCAAGCGUACGUAUUGCUGAAAACCAGUGCUCAUCAAAUCCACAUUUUAAAAUCUUGCUGAAGCAUAAUUGCUUUUGUAUCAAAAGUCAUUUUUGCUAAUUUUGUGCUUGCUCUGACUUCAUAUUAGCCUAUACAUAUGGUUCCCAGGCAGUUUUGUGGGACUAGAACAACAUGCACAUAUUGACAUACUAUACUUAUUACGUACAUGAAUAUACCUGUACCCAUAUAUACUAUAUGUAUGUAUGUAUGUAUGUUUGUAAAUGUGCACAUUUUGUUCUAGUCUUACAAACUGUAUGGGAACCACAUGUAUGCUGCUGUGGAUUCCAUGAUGGAAGAAAGAUGGACUAUAAUUGCAAGAAAAUAAACAUGUAUCUCAUUUAAUGGUUGUAAAAUUGGCAUUAAAUAUGACAAUGUAUAAAAUUGAGUGAGGGAAACCUUCAACCUCUCCAGAAACUCCAGGAUCAAUCUGACAGAAGUUUGAAUUAAGUCCCAAGAAUUUAAAUGUACCUCUGAGACCACUGGGUCUCUAAAGGCCUUUGGAUUGCAUGUUCUGUCUUUUACGUUAGGGUCUCUGUACUUUACAAAAGCACUUCCAAAGGACAAUUCCUAACUAAAUGGAUAAUAAAGUUUUCAGGACUUUGGUGUAGAUCAGGGGUGGAAAAGAUGGCCUCUAGACAUUACGGUAGAUUACAUUUGUAAUGAUCACUAACGAUUAAGAUUGCUGAGAGGCGAGUACUGAUGUAAUAGACCCACAGCCAGCAGGGGGCCAGACUCUGAGCUUUCAUUACAAAAAGAAAAGUCUCUAGCCCUCCUAGAAGGAAAGUUAUAAAGCAAAAGGUGAAAGUAUCAUUCUAAGCAAUUUCUGUGAGAUGAGCCAGCCUGACAGCUCCCGACUUUAAGAGCUUUUAUCCAAUGAGUGAGUCACUGGGGUACCAGGUCAUAAAGAGCUGCUGUUUUCCUCUCUCUUUUAGUGCACAUUUCCUGUUUCUGCCUCAUUUUCUAGUCAUUGGAAUCUCCAGAGUUUGCUCUCUGUUUUCCCCCCUAGUGAUGACACAUCUUUCCUGUGGGUUCAUCUGAGAUCAGGUACUCCCUAGAAAUUAUUUUUCUGCAAAUACUACUACAGUGGUACCUCGGGUUAAGUACUUAAUUCGUUCUGGAGGUCUGUUCUUAACCUGAGACUGUUCUUAACCUGAAGCACCACUUUAGCUAAUGGGGCCUCCUGCUGCCACUGUGCUGCCGCCGCCCAAUUUCUGUUCUUAUCCUGAAGCAAAGUUCUGAACCUAAUAUUAAUUUCUGGGUUAGCGGAGUCUGUAACCUGAAGCAUGUGUAACCUGAAGCGUAUGUAACCCGAGGAACCACUGUAUACAAUAAGUUUUGGUGGAUGUUAAAGAUACCACGCCCCAGCCUGCAGAUGACAAAUACAAAAUACAAAAACUUUGCAAAGAAGCUUACCAUCUCUGCUGCUUGUUUUCCAUUCUGUCCUACAGUCACCACAUGGAGCAGUUUCCAUUCCACUGCAGUUUGUCUAUCACCGAAAUCUAUGUUAAUUAUCCCACUGCUUGCUAUGGCAAAUUUAGGUCAUUUAUCUAAUUUAUUAUUUAAACUACAAAGUUAUGUUGUCAUCCUGUUAUUCCACCCCAUUCAUUUCAAUGCAAAGGAAAGGCAGUGCAAAUUGCGGGACAGGUGCGGGGAAGUAUAGUUUGUGGUCUGAGAGCAACAGCAGCAGCAAAUGCUGACCAUAUUCACUGGAUUUGUUUACAUUCCGGAAACAGGUAGAAUAAAUGAACAAUGGCUACUUCCACUCCCAUUCUUGUUGGAAUUUUCCAACAUCCCUAGUUCCUACUGAAUUUUAAUCCAGAUAAUCUCCAGCACUCACUUUACCAUUGUCAGAAACAGACCUGGCAGUGGUGGGGUGGGGGUUCAUUCCCAGAGUGACUUCAGACAGGAAGGCAUACUUUACAUGGGUGUGAAUGUGGCUGGACUGAAUUCCAUGUUUUAUCUCAUAUCUUUCAGGUGGCAAUGUAUGAGAAUGUCUUGUAUGUUUCCUGUGAACCAAUUCAGCCUGCUACAUGCCCUCUGGUUGUGCAGGAUCAACGAUUAUUUAACAAGAUACGCUGAAAUUCAGUAAGUCACAAUUAAUAGGUCAUUUUGUCUGUACUGCACAGCUAGGCAGGGCAAGAAUGAGGAUGUUUGCAUGCAGGUCAUGUGAAACAGAAAUUCGUCGUGCCGAAUUAUUUUUAAAUAGCUCUGGGUGUAUCCUAAGCCUUAAUGCACACACUGCAAAUGCUAAGGAUGUUUGGAACCCAAAUAACGCUAGAAACUAUGCCACAAAGCUAGUUGUGCUCUAGAUUCAGUCAGCAGCCUUGUCAGAACUCACAUAUCACAGAACUCACAGGUAUUUGGAUGCCCAACUUUUAACCGUGGUUCAAAUAAAAAGGUAUUCACACCCUUAACAAAUGUGUCAAGGCAUCAACUUGUAUAUAGAAUCUUCCCAUUUACACAUGACACUGAGAUAACCUGAAUACUUCCAAGUUGCCAGGAACCACUCAGAACAGCAAUUAGAUCUGCCUUCUGCAAUCCAGGUCUGUGCUAAUGUUCCAAUAGACAGGGCUUCCUCACCUCUUUAUAUGCUGCGUAAUCUUGUGGACUAUGCUGUGCUUCACUGAACGUUGCUUGUCCAGCAUAUUGAUACCUGUGGUCCUGGUUAUACAACAGUCGUGAUCAUGUUUAUAUAUUGUACACUUUAAGUGGCCUGUGGCAGCCAGCCAAUAUAUAUACUUAUGCGGGCAUCCCAGUUACUCACUGAACAGGUGGCUGACCUUGAGAGUCCGCCAAGGCCUAUCUAGAGGGAAAUAACAGACUCCCAGCACACACUGUCUUAGACAGAUGUAGACAUAGCUGGCUCAGCAAAAAAUGGCAGUGAAAGCUAUAGAAGCAGCAGCAAAGCUGACUUCUAAGAGACUCAGGUAGACUCAGCAUGGAAGGCGGCUGUGCAUCACUCUACACGAACUCCUUGACACACAAGUUUUCUGCAUAUUUCCAGUACAAGUCCCCCAACUUGCCCCCAAACCAGGGACUAAAUUUAAGUCAUUCUAAGAGCUGAUUUCCAACCGGUGGGAAAUCAUUUUUUUAUAUAUGCACACUAGAAAAGGAUGGUGUGGGGCAAGAACAUUUUCCCAUUUUCACUUCUGCCCUGCUGGCAAUAGCUUUACAGAGUUUUGAAUGAGGUGGUUGAGAUGGCUUGGGUCCCCCUACCCCCAGCAGUAGCCUUAGGAUUGCAUGGUUAAUGCUAUAUGUUCUUUGGCCCUUGACCCAUCUUGUGGCUUCAUUUUUGACAUGGUAUUUCAGUCAUAGGCUUCUUAGCUCCCAACUUGCUUUCUUAACUGGCUGCUCUUCUAGCUAACACAGUUCAAGGUGGUGCUCAAAGUUCAAGUGCAGCUCAACAGAAACGAUGGGCUACUGGACAAUGUCAUUUGCGCAAACCCCAGGUACAAUGGCAUUCCUUGGAGCAAGAUCGGAGCCUCGGGUUAUUAGUAGAAAUACUCAGCAGCUCCAGCCUGCCUUCUGCAUGGCCUUUUCAUGCUUUACGUUGUCUGAUCGCUCAGAUAAAAGUUCAAUUCCCCUUUAAACUUUUAAGAGCUUUAUAAAUUAUCAGAGGGUUUUAAUCCCCUUUUUCAUGAGAUAAAUGUAGUCUAAGCCUCAGACUCUAAUUGACUGGCUUUGGUUGUGUCCCUGCCCCCAGAGGUUUGUCUCUGAAGGAAAGCAGACCCUUCACACUGAGGGAGGCUUUCCACAAGGAACAAGAAUUGAGGAAAGAGAGCAACAAACAGCUUGGCUGCUUUGUUUUAAUAAAUUAUUGAAAGAAAAUAAUAGAAGCUAAUGGAUAGGAUUUGUAGUCCAACAACAUCUGGGGGACCACAGUUUCCUAGGACAAUUGUGGAAAGAGUAAUUGGGGGCUGACCCACACGGCAAGGUGGUGGGCAGUGGGUAGGAAGGGAAGAGUUUGUACACUGUUGGAAGUUUGUUCAGGACAAAGUGUGCAUUCCAGAAACAUUCAGCAAAGUACAGAAACAUCUCCUCUCAGUAAAAGAAAGUGGGGGAGGGAGGGGAAGAGAGAGCAUAUGAUAAACGCCCCUUGCUGGGGAGAAUGCCAGGGCUGAGCUAAGGUUCUGUAGGUGCACUUCAGUAUUUCCUGACUUGUCAAGUGAUUGACAGAUGCUGAGCAGUGUAGAAGAUAUAGGAGUGGCCAGUAAGAGAGGGGGGUGGGUUUCUUUUUUCUUUUUGCAAGAUUACUGGCAGGCAUGAAAGUCUCCAGCUCCAGACUUAUAGCCUUCUUUGGUUCCUUGCCAGUAAAGGUCCCUUCUGGGUCAUGAUGCACAAUUUACUGUUUCACUCACCAUAUGAUGGACUCUAGUAAAAUCAGUAGACUGGAUGACUCUGCCUUUUGUAUGGAGAGCAUGUUGCAUUACAGUGGCCAACUUCCAAGCCACUCAGUAGUUAUAACGAGCCACUUUGGGGGAAAGGGUUUCCUUUCUGAACUCUCUUAGCAAAAUUCUGGCUUCAAGGCCCCUGGACUUUUUGUGUAUGCAUUAAAAUGAUGGGUCCUGCUUUUCUCUUUGCCCUGGAUACUCAGUGUUUUGACCUCAAAGUAUCCAGGCAGUCAGACAAGGAAAACAAUGGCAAUUUUGCAAUGUCAACGACCCACCUGGGGAAGGGGAUCCUCCUUCUUUUUAUGCAUUUUCCAAGAACUUUCUUGCUUAUUUUGCCAAUAAUCUGGCAUUUCCAAUCUCUUCUUUCUUUCUUUCUUUCUUUCUUUCUUUCUUUCUUUCUUUCUUUCUUUCUUUCUUUUGCUUGUCAUUGUAGAACUGCUCCAACAACCCUUCAUUUUUUAAUCUUUGCAAAUGUUUGCAGGGUUCCUGCCAGCCCUGUGUCCAAAACUCAUCCAUCUGUGAAACAAGCAGCGAUCUACAGCAAAGUGCUUUUAUGAUGGGAGGUCCAGAGUUUCCAGGAAAGCCAGAUUCUCCUUGUGAAAUAUUGCCUUGUGGAAGCCGUGCUUAUAGUUACAAGGGUUGUGGGACAUGUGCAAACAUCUUCUGGAGUCUGUGCCUGCCUCAUCCCAGAUCCAGCAAGCCCUUCAACAUCUGUACCCUCAGAGGACCAAUGCUUUCAUUAUGUUUUGGUUCAUAAUGGCCCAUGCUCAUGCUCAAAUAUGUGCAUAUAUGCUAAUGAUCUAGGAAUGAACACUUAAGUUUACAUUUUUAGGCAGCAUAUAUCCCGGAAAGUCAAUGCACAUGUUGCUGUUGUUGUUUUCUCACAUGAUUUGGGGGGAUAAUAUGCACCACAUCACCAUUCUUAUAUUACAACUUCCAGAGGGGAAGCUGUGCUAACUUGUCACAACAAAAGCAAUGAAGUCUUGUGGUGCCUUAAAGACAAACAGAUUUGUGUGGCAUAAGUUUUCAUCGGAAGAACUCCCAGUUUGUAAAUACAGAAUAAUGUGUAGAUGCAUAUUCACAGGGAUAGGAAGAAAAAUUGUAAACAGAGGGGCCAGGGACUGUGAAAAGCAAGAGGAGCAGCCUGUGGUAUUGCUAUAAUCCUAUUCAUGUGUUCCCCUCACACAUUUCCCAUUGUGUGAGGGGAAAGAUUGAGGACAUGCUUGUGUCCCCCUGCCCCUUCCAUUUGCAUUCCUAAUAACCUGCCCCCACCAAACUCCAUGCAUUGAGACUGAGGGUCUCCAGAAGGAAGCUGGCUCUACUUAUGAGGCUCCCAGCAUGAUUUAGAACUCUGUGUGGGCAGGUUGGCAUAUGAGAGGGGAUGCAUUUAUAUCCCACCUUUCCUUCCAAGAGCUCAAAGUGGUGUACAUGGCUCUCUCCUCAUCUGAUAAUCACAAGAACCCUUUGAUGUAGGUUAGGCUAAGAGGCCGAGUUGAGGUUUGAACCCUGGUUUCCCAAGGUUCUAGUACAGCACUCUAACUUGUACACCACACUGCCUCUCUUCAAUUAUCCCAAAAGAAGUCUAAAUCUUUACUGUUUACAAAGUGUUAGCGCAAGGGUCAGCAAGCUUUUUCAGCUGGGGGCCGGUCCACUGCCCCUCAGACCUUGUGGGGGGCCGGACUAUAUUUUG
RNAcentral lists this long non-coding RNA (7312 nucleotides) under Podarcis lilfordi (Lilford's wall lizard). Lineage: Eukaryota; Metazoa; Chordata; Lepidosauria; Squamata; Lacertidae. The record is from RNAcentral.